UGAGGAAUCUUGGUCAAUGGACGAGAGUCUGAACCAGCCAUUCCGCCUGACGGAUGAAGGCGUUCUGCGUUGUCAACUUCUUUUGCGGUGGAAGAAACCUUGAUAUUCUUAUCAAGCCGCCGGUACCCCAAGAAUAAGCCCCGGCUAACUACGUGCCAGCAGCCGCGGUAAUACGUAGGGUGCAAGCGUUAAUCGGAAUUACUGGGCGUAAAGCGUGCGCAGGCGGUUUUGUAAGACAGAGGUGAAAUCCCCGGGCUCAACCUGGGAACUGCCUUUGUGACUGCAAGGCUGGAGUACGGCAGAGGGGGAUGGAAUUCCGAGUGUAGCAGUGAAAUGCAUAGAUAUGACAAGGAACACCGAUUGCGAAGGCAGCCCACUAAGAAAUGAUUGACGCUGAGGCACGAAAGCGUGGGGAUCAAAAA
RNAcentral lists this ribosomal RNA (422 nucleotides) under uncultured bacterium. RNAcentral describes it as "bacterial SSU rRNA". It matches the Rfam family "Bacterial small subunit ribosomal RNA", at positions 355 to 774 of the family's 1533-position model. The record is from RNAcentral.